Molecule: ribosomal RNA, 307 nt
Filed under: Clostridioides difficile
Lineage: Bacteria; Bacillati; Bacillota; Clostridia; Peptostreptococcales; Peptostreptococcaceae
Description: partial 23S ribosomal RNA
Rfam family: Bacterial large subunit ribosomal RNA
Source: RNAcentral
UUGACUGGGGCGGUCGCCUCCCAAAAGGUAACGGAGGCGCUCAAAGGUUCUCUCAGUACGGUCGGAAAUCGUACGUAGAGUGUAAAGGCAAAAGAGAGCUUGAUUGCAAGACAUACAGGUCGAGCAAGGAUGAAAAUCGGACUUAGUGAUCCGGUGGUGCUGCGUGGAAGGGCCAUCGCUCAACGGAUAAAAGCUACCCUGGGGAUAACAGGCUUAUCUCCCCCAAGAGUCCACAUCGACGGGGAGGUUUGGCACCUCGAUGUCGGCUCAUCACAUCCUGGGGCUGUAGUAGGUCCCAAGGGUUGGG